UAGGGAAUCUUCGGCAAUGGGGGGAACCCUGACCGAGCAACGCCGCGUGAGUGAAGAAGGUUUUCGGAUCGUAAAGCUCUGUUGUUAAGGAAGAACGAGUGUGAGAAUGGAAAGUUCAUACUGUGACGGUACUUAACCAGAAAGGGACGGCUAACUACGUGCCAGCAGCCGCGGUAAUACGUAGGUCCCGAGCGUUGUCCGGAUUUAUUGGGCGUAAAGCGAGCGCAGGCGGUUAGAUAAGUCUGAAGUUAAAGGCAGUGGCUCAACCAUUGUAGGCUUUGGAAACUGUUUAACUUGAGUGCAGAAGGGGAGAGUGGAAUUCCAUGUGUAGCGGUGAAAUGCGUAGAUAUAUGGAGGAACACCGGUGGCGAAAGCGGCUCUCUGGUCUGUAACUGACGCUGAUGCUCGAAAGCGUGGGGAGCGAACAGG
This 429-nucleotide ribosomal RNA is filed under the name Bacteroidota bacterium. Its description in RNAcentral is "Bacteroidetes bacterium partial 16S ribosomal RNA". It matches the Rfam family "Bacterial small subunit ribosomal RNA", at positions 355 to 776 of the family's 1533-position model. Lineage: Bacteria; Pseudomonadati; Bacteroidota. The record is from RNAcentral.